AGGGCCCAACAAGGAACUAAGAAUAAAGUAAAGAACACAGGGUGGACCAGCCACAGUAAAAUAUGUCCAGAAUGAGGGCAAACCAGUUUGUAAAAUAGCACGUUAUCUGCAGUCAGAGUCACAGACUACAGAGUGAGGAUAUCUUACGACAACAUCACAGGAGCCAUCUUUCUCUCUUUUUAAAAUCAUAAAUCGGAUAUUACUCUCCUGCUCCUGGAGCCUACAGGUGGAAGGAGACGUUACUCACUGGAAAAAGGCAGAUGGAUGCCAGAUCACAGUCAGUGUCGAUUGGAAUAGCGAUAGCGUUCUGCAUUCUGGGGGUGUUUGUGCUGGUCUGUGUGCUGCAGAUUUUCUGGAAGAAGCUGAAGAAAUGCUGCAAAAGAAAGAGGCCUUCAGCUAAAGAUAGAAUCCUCAAGAAAGUUGGACUCAAGAAAUCUUCACCUCCUUUCUCCGUCAGUGGGAUUAUAGACAAGAAAUGACAGCUUGUGCUCAUGAUGUGCACCUAAAAUGUAGACGUUAGUUUCCUCUGUUACAUAUUUAUUUUUGUAAUUGUAUAUUUUUUCUAGAUUUGCUCACUUUUGCAGUAUGUAUGGGAAUACCAUUUGAUUUGUACCUGUAAUAUAAUGUAAUAUGUGUGUGAACCUUUACACAAAACCCAACUAUAACUUACACAUUAAUGGGAUUUUAUGUAUUUUUAUGCAUUUUUGUCUUGCUUUUAUCAUCAUCAUCAUCAUCGUCGUCGUUUCAUUUUAGAUUUUCAUUUUAAAACCCUAGGAGAAAUGAGUGAAUCCUGUUUAAGAGUAUCUUGUAACUUGUUCCAGCUCACUAUUCUACUAUGUUUUUCUGAAAGUGUACACUGUAAUAUCUAAAAUGUUCUGUGUUUGUGUUGCGCAGCCCUUUCUAUUCUUUGCUCACCAUCAGUGUGUAGUCAUUCCCCCAGGCUGCUAUUUCAUAUGUGUUAAGUUAUAGUACAUAUUGUGGUGCAGCUGCCUGGCCUCAGUGUUGAAGGUUAUAAGAGCAAGUUACCAUUUCUCUGCUUUUUGUUACUGGACGCUGCAUUCAGCACCUAUUACUGAACAGAUUGUAUUUGUAUUAGUAAACUUUGCUGGAUACAGUUUCCAGUCGAAUUAUGUUAAGGGAAAAUGUAACUGAUUGGCCACUUGGUGUCACAUGUACUAAGAAUUAUAAAAAAAAUUCAGGACUGGAUACUGGAUUAGGGCGCAGAAAGAGUGCUGUUUGUGUAACUUAAACAACGUAAACGCCGUUCACUUAAUUUACUUAAAUUCAUUGUUUGUACUCACCUUAUUGUGUUAUUUAAGCUCAACUGAUUUAAACUGUUAAAACUUGAAUAUAUUAAGGCAGUUGGUUUUCCUGUGUGUACAGUUCCCACACACUCUUACACUCUGCAGUAGUGAAGAUGAGUUGUGUUUUAGCAGUAAAAAGUAAAGGUGAUUUGAUGCAGUAACAGGAUGUGGGGCACUGGGGCCGUUGGUUUGUGAGCUGUUGUGUUCGGGUUCAGGCCUGUGGUGGUUUCCUCUCGGCGGUGAGUCGAGCUGCAAAUAGCUUGUGAGGUAAAUCAAGCCGACACCACUCAUGAAUAGCAGCCAGUUAAGCAGCCCGCUCUGUUCCCCAGUUUUACACCAGGGCUAGACAGACUGACAUCAGUGGAGAAAAGCCAAAUGUCAGCCCCAAACCACAGAUGGUGAAGACAUCACGCUUUAGCACAAACUCUACCAGUUAAAGGUUUUAGAACACCCCUAUUUUUUUAGUAUUCCAGUAGCAGUGCUGUAUGACCCUGACAAGCUGUUUUUUUAUUAUUUUAUCUUCUAACACUUUAUUACUGCACUUAAAGAAGGAGAUUUUUGGCCUUUUGGGCAACAGUCCAUUGCAAUAGCCUCAUCUAGAAGUUAAAAGAGAAUGUACUAGUUUCUCAGCAUUUGCUUUAGUUUGUUAUCAAUGCAUUUUUUAGAUAAUUAUUCUAUGUGAAUCAUUUAUUAGCCCUAAAUCAAAUGUUACUCAGAUGGUUUAAUAUGCACUCUCAUUUUAAACUGUCUUAAACAAGGCCUUUGAGGUUGCUUUUGCAUUUUCAGGGUUUAAACCAGAGUGUUGGUGGCAAUCACAAAUGCAAAGAGGAAAAUGUGAUUCUGAGUGGUAGAUUAGGUUUUCUGCUGUUCUGAAAAAAAAAAAAACAGUAUGAACUACACAUUCUCAGAACCAUUCCACCAUAUCACCUGCACAAAACCUCAAAAUUUAAGUUGAUUUUAACAUGACCUACAUCCCAGAGCUAAUAAAAAGGGCUCAAAAGUAUACUUAUUAAGUAUGCAUUAAAAUUGUAUGUAAUAUUGCAACUCUUAAUUGCAUUGCAUUUCUCAUAAAAGAAGAAACACAUGAUAAUUGUCCUGCCACCUUGUGGGCAGCUCAUUAACAUUUAAAAUAAACUAGUGCAAAGUUCAGUUCAUACUAAUUUAAAUGAAAUAGUGAAAAUAAAUAUAUAAUCUACCACACUGGUUUGGAUACUGAACUUGUAAGCAUUUCCUCAACACAAAACAAUAUCAAAUGUUUCGGCAUUGUAGACGUUUUAUGGACCUUUUAAACUCCAGUAAUAAAGAUGUUAAACUACAGUAAUAAACCUUUUAAAAGUGUUCUGGCUGUAACUCCAGCGUAAGCCCACCAACCAAUCAGCUCACAGCAGCAGUAAUGCAGUGUUUUUACUGCCUAAAACAUGUUUACUAUAUACUGAAAUAAUAAACUGAAAUAUACAGGUACAUUUCCAUUGCUUUCCAUUCCAUUUACAUUAUUAUACUUUCCAAAAAUACUGACCAGGUAGAUCUUUUUUUUCUAUUUUCAGUUUGAGCUUUUAGUUAUUUAGUUGUCUCUAGUGGUUUACCAUCAUUUUCUGAUAUAGCGGGAGAUGUGGGGGAUGUGGGCAGGCUCCUUAUAAACCUGUCCUGGAUUGGCUGGCGCAAAAAUGAAUGAUUCUCAGGUAAACGUUGAGUUCAGCGUUCACAGAAAAAAAACAACACUAGUGCAGAUUGUCAAAUAUUAUAUAAAAUAAGGGAUGUCAAUCAAUAAAAAUUUUUAUCACGACAAUAUUCUGUGAUUAACUGCAUUUAAAUGCACUUGUUCUUCUUAAGACUUAAAAAAUGUAUGUAAGAAAUGUAAUUAUAUUUUUAUCUGUGGUGCCAAUUAAAAUACUAAUGUAUAUUUGUACUUUUAAUGGGGGGUUAAACCAGUGUUGCUUCUGGAAUGAAGAAUGCAUGAUAAAUUGGAUAGAGGUAACAGAGUUUGUGUUGUGCUGUAAUACAGAGACUGCUGUGCUAAGCUCUUUUCUCUUAUUUAUUUUAUUUCUGUAAGUAAUGCCAUAAAUGUGAUUUGGCAAACUAAUAAAUAAGCAAGUGAAAUACCGCCA
Long non-coding RNA from Astyanax mexicanus (Mexican tetra), 3409 nucleotides. RefSeq lists it as uncharacterized. The record is from RefSeq and is a predicted model, not a curated record. The transcript has 4 exons. Lineage: Eukaryota; Metazoa; Chordata; Actinopteri; Characiformes; Acestrorhamphidae.